UAUGUAUGGUCGUUAACAUUGAUGAUUUUAUACCCAAAUCAUCCGCCCGGGAACUACGAGCGAUAGCUUAAAACCCAAAGGACUUGGCGGUGCUUUAGACCCC
Molecule: ribosomal RNA, 103 nt
Filed under: Trisopterus minutus (poor cod)
Lineage: Eukaryota; Metazoa; Chordata; Actinopteri; Gadiformes; Gadidae
Description: partial 12S ribosomal RNA
Source: RNAcentral